Lupinus albus (white lupine) is the source of this 811-nucleotide non-coding RNA. Lineage: Eukaryota; Viridiplantae; Streptophyta; Magnoliopsida; Fabales; Fabaceae. The record is from the annotation of a GenBank genome assembly.
UGUUUGAAACUCCUCGUCUGGGAAAGAGUGACUGCCCUUAGACCAUCUUUCUAAGCACUGGAAGCAACCAAAAGAGGUUUCAAUCACCAACAGCCAGCCAGGGAAGUUGUAAUGAGAACCCUAACUGAGUAAUCAGUUCCAAGACUCUUCUUCUUUUAGCCUUAAUUUUAUCCCCACGGACACAAGUAAGAUGCCAUUCAUAAGACCGACCCCGAAGAGACGAGUUGACCACCAAAUCCAAAAAGUAUAUUGAUUGACCCUAAAGUUGGAUAGAAAGAGAACUGUCCGUCCACAGAGCCAAACCACUUGACCGACCAACCGGGUCCACAUAAACCUUAUUUUUUAAUCCCAAACGAUUCCUCCAUCUCUCCAGUUUAUAUUGAAAAUUCAAAGUUAUUUUCCUGUUUUUGGCAAAUUGGAUGUUCAGAUGCUUAUUGGGUUCCACUGUUGGUUUAUCUGGAAAAGACCCUCUUGCUAUUGCCCACGGAGCUAUUAGAAGUUAUACUGAAUGGAAGCCCAGGAGUUGCAUUCUUUAAUCGCCCGACCCUCCAAGACUUGAAUCAGGAAGAGCUUUUAUAUACUAUGCUGCCUUUUGCCUUGCGCUUGGUCUUUUUUCUUUAUUGCCUUCGCCUGUACAACUACAUUUAUUAAGGGCUUGUUUUGUCUGAUCAAGCAAGCGUUUAAUCUCCUCCUCGCUUACCUUUCUGGGUCUUUUUUUCAGAAGUUCUUUACUUUAUGUUGAUGUCAUCGAAGCUACAACAAUCAAGGCUGGGCCUUUUAUUGCUCUUCUCUUGUCCCCUCGGGUUAUUAA